RNAcentral lists this ribosomal RNA (1394 nucleotides) under uncultured bacterium. RNAcentral describes it as "partial 16S ribosomal RNA". It matches the Rfam family "Bacterial small subunit ribosomal RNA". The record is from RNAcentral.
AGAGUUUGAUCAUGGCUCAGGAUGAACGCUGGCGGUCUGCUUAACACAUGCAAGUCGAACGGACUCUUCGGAGUUAGUGGCGGACGGGUGAGUAACGCGUGAGAAUCUGCCUCUAGAACGGGGACAACAGAGGGAAACUUCUGCUAAUCCCGGAUGAGCCGAAAGGUCAAAGAUUUAUCGUCUAGAGAUGAGCUCGCGUCUGAUUAGCUAGUUGGUAAGGUAAAGGCUUACCAAGGCGACGAUCAGUAGCUGGUCUGAGAGGAUGAUCAGCCACACUGGGACUGAGACACGGCCCAGACUCCUACGGGAGGCAGCAGUGGGGAAUUUUCCGCAAUGGGCGCAAGCCUGACGGAGCAAGACCGCGUGGGGGAGGAAAGCCUUUGGGUUGUAAACCCCUUUUCUCAGGGAAGAAGAAAGUGACGGUACCUGAGGAAUCAGCCUCGGCUAACUCCGUGCCAGCAGCCGCGGUACUACGGAGGAGGCAAGCGUUAUCCGGAAUGAUUGGGCGUAAAGCGUUCGUAGGUGGCAAUUCAAGUCUGCUGUCAAAGACAGUAGCUCAACUACUGCAAGGCAGUGGAAACUGAAUAGCUAGAGUGCGGUAGGGGCAGAGGGAAUUCCCGGUGUAGCGGUGAAAUGCGUAGAGAUCGGGAAGAACACCGGUGGCGAAAGCGCUCUGCUGGGCCGCAACUGACACUGAGGGACGAAAGCUAGGGGAGCGAAUGGGAUUAGAUACCCCAGUAGUCCUAGCUGUAAACGAUGGAAACUAGGUGUUGCCUGUAUCGACCCAGGCAGUGCCGUAGCUAACGCGUAAGUUCCCGCUGGGGAGGUCGAAAGUGGUUUAAUUCGAUGCAACGCGAAGAACCUUACCAGGGCUUGACAUGUCCGGAAUUCUGGGGAAACUCGGAAGUGCCUUCGGGAACCGGAACACAGGUGGUGCAUGGCUGUCGUCAGCUCGUGUCGUGAGAUGUUGGGUUAAGUCCCGCAACGAGCGCAACCCUCGUUUUUAGUUGCCGUCAUCAAGUUGGGCACUCUAGAGAGACUGCCGGUGACAAACCGGAGGAAGGUGGGGAUGACGUCGAGUCAUCAUGCCCCUUACGUCCUGGGCUACACACGUACUACAAUGGUAAGGACAAAGGGCAGCCACUUCGCGAGGAGGAGCUAAUCCCGUAAACCUUGCCUCAGUUCAGAUUGCAGGCUGCAACUCGCCUGCAUGAAGGAGGAAUCGCUAGUAAUCGCAGGUCAGCAUACUGCGGUGAAUCCGUUCCCGGGCCUUGUACACACCGCCCGUCACACCAUGGAAGUUAGCCAUGCCCGAAGUCAUUACUCUAACCUUUCGAGGAGGAGGGUGCCGAAGGCAGGGCUGAUGACUGGGGUGAAGUCGUAACAAGGUAACC